Molecule: ribosomal RNA, 489 nt
Filed under: Euastacus hystricosus
Lineage: Eukaryota; Metazoa; Arthropoda; Malacostraca; Decapoda; Parastacidae
Description: partial 16S ribosomal RNA
Rfam family: Bacterial large subunit ribosomal RNA
Source: RNAcentral
UGACCGUGCGAAGGUAGCAUAAUCAUUAGUCUUUUAAUUGAAGGCUUGUAUGAAUGGUUGGACGAAAAGUAAUCUGUCUCUAUUGGAAAAAUUGAAUUUAACUUUUGAGUGAAAAGGCUUAAAUGAUCUAGAGGGACGAUAAGACCCUAUAAAGUUUGACAUAAUGGUAAUAAAAAGUUGAUUAGGUUGGAGGACUUAUUAUUGCAAAUAAUGUUUUGUUGGGGCGACAAGAAUAUAAAUAAUUUAACUGUUCUUUUUUGUAUCAAAAAUAUUUGGGUUAAUGAUCUUUUUAAGAGUAUUAGAGUAAAUUACUUUAGGGAUAACAGCGUAAUUUUUUUUGAGAGUUCCUAUCGACAAAAGAGUUUGCGACCUCGAUGUUGAAUUAAAGAUUCUUUAUGGUGUAGAAGUUAUACAAGAAGGUCUGUUCGACCUUUAAAUCUUUACAUGAUUUGAGUUCAGACCGGUGUGAGCCAGGUUGGUUUCUAUCUA